UAGAAAAACAACUUUAUCAAGACAUGUUAGAGAGAAAUAGUUUUGUGUGAAUGUACCACAUUAAAGGACAGGAAGAAAAGCCAAAUGGUAUUAUUAUAAUAGUUUGCAUAAAUAUUAUUUAAUUAUUUAAGAUAUUCAGUAAAGCAGGUGAAUGCUAGUCAGGCUAAAAGUAAACAAUGCAGAAGCUUUUAUGGAAUGAUAUUUUUGAUACAUCAUGAGGUAAAGUACAACAUAAGUAAAAAAAAUUCAGUAUUUACUCACAGUUAUUUGAUUAUAAUAUAAAAGUAUGCAUCUAGACUCUGCAAAGGAGAGCUGUAUUAUUUUCUGUGCUAAUGAGGUAUUUAAGACUUUUAUCCAUUCUCUUGAAUGUUUGCCAUUAUUCUAGGAAAUUUUUUAUGACUUUCAUUCAUGCUCUGUAUUUUAAAUGUUCUUAAGGCCAACCCCAGAUGAAUUAAUGAAGGACAAAGUGUUCAGUGAGGUAUCACCUUUAUAUACCCCCUUUACCAAACCUGCCAGUCUGUUUUCAUCUUCUCUGAGAUGUGCUGAUUUAACUCUGCCUGAGGAUAUCAGUCAGUUUUGUAAAGAUAUAAAUAAUGAUUACCUGGCAGAAAGAUCUAUUGAAGAAGUUUAUUACCUUUGGUGUUUGGCUGGAGGUGACUUGGAGAAAGAGCUUGUCAACAAGGAAAUCAUUCGAUCCAAACCACCUAUCUGCACACUACCCAAUUUUCUCUUUGAGGAUGGUGAAAGCUUUGGACAAGGUCGAGAUAGAAGCUCGCUUUUAGAUGAUACCACUGUGACAUUGUCGUUAUGCCAGCUAAGAAAUAGAUUGAAAGAUGUUGGUGGAGAAGCAUUUUACCCAUUACUUGAAGAUGACCAGUCUAAUUUACCUCAUUCAAACAGCAAUAAUGAGUUGUCUGCAGCUGCCACUCUCCCUUUAAUCAUCAGAGAGAAGGACACAGAGUACCAACUAAAUAGAAUUAUUCUCUUUGACAGGCUGCUAAAGGCUUAUCCAUAUAAAAAAAACCAAAUUUGGAAAGAAGCAAGAGUUGACAUUCCUCCUCUUAUGAGAGGUUUAACCUGGGCUGCUCUUCUGGGAGUUGAGGGAGCUAUUCAUGCCAAGUACGAUGCAAUUGAUAAAGACACUCCAAUUCCUACAGAUAGACAAAUUGAAGUGGAUAUUCCUCGCUGUCAUCAGUACGAUGAACUGUUAUCAUCACCAGAAGGUCAUGCAAAAUUUAGGCGUGUAUUAAAAGCCUGGGUAGUGUCUCAUCCUGAUCUUGUGUAUUGGCAAGGUCUUGACUCACUCUGUGCUCCAUUCCUAUAUCUAAACUUCAAUAAUGAAGCCUUGGCUUAUGCAUGUAUGUCUGCUUUUAUUCCCAAAUACCUGUAUAACUUCUUCUUAAAAGACAACUCACAUGUAAUACAAGAGUAUCUGACUGUCUUCUCUCAGAUGAUUGCAUUUCAUGAUCCAGAGCUGAGUAAUCAUCUCAAUGAGAUUGGCUUCAUUCCAGAUCUCUAUGCCAUCCCUUGGUUUCUUACCAUGUUUACUCAUGUAUUUCCACUACACAAAAUUUUCCACCUCUGGGAUACCUUACUACUUGGGAAUUCCUCUUUCCCAUUCUGUAUUGGAGUAGCAAUUCUUCAGCAGCUGCGGGACCGGCUUUUGGCUAAUGGCUUUAAUGAGUGCAUUCUUCUCUUCUCCGAUUUACCAGAAAUUGACAUUGAACGCUGUGUGAGAGAAUCUAUCAACCUGUUUUGUUGGACUCCUAAAAGUGCUACUUACAGACAGCAUGCUCAACCUCCAAAGCCAACUUCUGACAGCAGUGGAGUCAGAAGUUCGGCACCUUAUUUCUCUGCUGAGUGUCCGGAUCCUCCAAAGACAGAUCUGUCAAGAGAAUCCAUCCCAUUAAAUGACCUAAAGUCAGAAGUAUCACCACGGAUUUCAGCAGAGGACCUGAUUGACUUGUGUGAGCUCACAGUGACAGGCCACUUCAAAACACCCACCAAGAAAACGAAGUCCAGUAAACCAAAGCUCCUGGUGGUUGACAUCCGGAAUAGUGAAGACUUUAUUCGUGGUCACAUUUCAGGAAGCAUCAACAUUCCAUUCAGUGCUGCCUUCACUGCAGAAGGGGAGCUUACCCAGGGCCCUUACACUGCUAUGCUCCAGAACUUCAAAGGGAAGGUCAUUGUCAUCGUGGGGCAUGUGGCAAAGCACACAGCUGAGUUUGCAGCUCACCUUGUGAAGAUGAAAUAUCCAAGAAUCUGUAUUCUAGAUGGUGGCAUUAAUAAAAUAAAGCCAACAGGCCUCCUCACCAUCCCAUCUCCUCAAAUAUGAAGAACCAAGAGUGUGACUGCCAAAACUCAGUGUUGCAUCAGCACCAACAGCACAGUUCUUCAUAUCCACGCCACUCUCAGACAAAACUAGAUGUCCAGAUUGUUGCAUUUCCAUAAAGUUUGUCACGAGACAUUUUUUAAAAUCUCAUAACCCACAUGUUCAGCUAUCCAUGCAAGAAACUUGACUCUACGUGUAUUGCUGAAAGAAUUUUCUUAACAGUGAAAUCUGAUCAUAUAUUUUUACCACACUGCCACAUAAAGCCCAAGAAAUUCAGCUUACAAGACAGAUUUAGCAUUAUCAAGAAAUCCCAGUUGCCCUGAAAAAGCUGUCCUCCAUUGUACUGAACAGACAGUCCUGUUGAUUGUAUUAUUUAGAAACAUACACUGAAUGUGGGCUGAAAUCCUCAUCUUUCCAUAAUGAAAAUUGAGAAACUAUUCACAAUGCUUUCCUUAUAAAUAAAUGCUACAUUUAGUAACUCAUUUCACCCAAAC
RNAcentral lists this small RNA (2826 nucleotides) under Pongo abelii (Sumatran orangutan). Its description in RNAcentral is "retained intron". The record is from RNAcentral. Lineage: Eukaryota; Metazoa; Chordata; Mammalia; Primates; Hominidae.